This 396-nucleotide ribosomal RNA is filed under the name Salmonella enterica subsp. enterica serovar Legon. RNAcentral describes it as "bacterial LSU rRNA". It matches the Rfam family "Bacterial large subunit ribosomal RNA", at positions 690 to 1083 of the family's 2925-position model. The record is from RNAcentral. Lineage: Bacteria; Pseudomonadati; Pseudomonadota; Gammaproteobacteria; Enterobacterales; Enterobacteriaceae.
GGGCGUUAAGUUGCAGGGUAUAGACCCGAAACCCGGUGAUCUAGCCAUGGGCAGGUUGAAGGUUGGGUAACACUAACUGGAGGACCGAACCGACUAAUGUUGAAAAAUUAGCGGAUGACCUGUGGCUGGGGGUGAAAGGCCAAUCAAACCGGGAGAUAGCUGGUUCUCCCCGAAAGCUAUUUAGGUAGCGCCUCGUGAACUCAUCUCCGGGGGUAGAGCACUGUUUCGGCUAGGGGGCCAUCCCGGCUUACCAACCCGAUGCAAACUGCGAAUACCGGAGAAUGUUAUCACGGGAGACACACGGCGGGUGCUAACGUCCGUCGUGAAGAGGGAAACAACCCAGACCGCCAGCUAAGGUCCCAAAGUCAUGGUUAAGUGGGAAACGAUGUGGGAAGG